Mesocricetus auratus (golden hamster) is the source of this 1424-nucleotide long non-coding RNA. RefSeq lists it as uncharacterized. The record is from RefSeq and is a predicted model, not a curated record. NCBI's taxonomy places the organism in Eukaryota, Metazoa, Chordata, Mammalia, Rodentia, Cricetidae. The transcript has 2 exons.
CCCACAGUUCUUACUGGCAUGUCUCCAUUCUGUUUCUUAGGAGGACCACACGUGCUUUCUGUCACAUCAGGACCUCCACCUGAACUCCCAUCUUUGCUGAGAGAGAUCUCUGUCACGUGUCUGCCUGUCCUUCCUGGCCAAUCUUCGGUUUUACCUUAGAGUCAUUUUCAUCCGAGGAGGCUGUGCUAGAAUGUCAUGAUAUGCUACGAUACGAAGGGAAAGAGAGUGUGAGGGAUCCGGGUCUGGUGAACCGCAUCAGAGUACCGCAGGAUCCAUCAGCACCAGAGACAGACGUGUGGCACAGUCUCCUGUUAGAAUACCGCCAUGUGACGGUGACCAUCUUGCUAACGACACCAUCCAGACACUCUUCCCGCAGGACCUGGUUGAGAGCAGCUGAAAUUGCCCCUCAGCCUUGUGUGACAGGAACCCCAGCAAAGCAGCAGCCCAUGGCUUUUCUUCUGUGACCACUUAGGGCACAGGGACUUAAUAUUCACGGCGGUCAAGUCUGGCCUGAGCGAACUCUUUAAGCAGAGCUAAUGGAUUAUUGAUUUUCUCCGCUGUAAAAGCAUCAGGCUUUCUCGACUUAAAGAAGGAGACAGAGUUCUUUGUAGAAAAUGCAAGAAAAGGGAAUUACAUGCCGGAUGCUCACACUUCUGUAUCAGUUAUUAUUUGGGUGCCUCAUCUGGCCUUGAGAUGAGGGUUUGUGCCUGGUCUUAUUGUAGCUUGUCAUGCUGUGCUCAGUUGAUAUUCCUGGGAGGCCUGCUAUUUUCUGACGGGAAAUGGAAAAGUGGAUCUGGAGGAGAGGAAUUGGGAGUAGUGGAGGGAGCGGAAACUGUGGUCAGGAUCUAAUGUAUGAGAAAGAAAACCCCACAAACUGUUUAAAACCAUAGGUAUUGAAUUACGAAGUGAAGCCAAUAUUUUAAUUUGAGGGCCAAUUAAUUUUGAAGUUUUCUAAAUUUUAUUUUUUUAGUCAACAUACAAUGCAAUGGGUUUUUAUUAUGGCAUUUUCAUACACCUAUCUCAUUACUUUGCUCAUAUUUACCUUCCCAAUAUCCUGUCUUGUUCUCCCUUCUGCCAGUCUCUGAUUCCUCACAGUCUUCCUUGUUCAUUCAUGUCACACACACACACACACACACACACACACACACACACACACACACACUACAAACAAAAAAAAAACCCCUGGAUUUUACAAAUGAGAGAAAAUGUGAUGUUUGUCUUUCUGUUUCUAGUUUACUUUGCUUAACUUGAUAUCAAAUGCCAUCAAUUUCUUUGAAAAAAUGAUUUUCUUUUCCUUUAUGGUUUAAUAAAUGUUUAAUCUAGUUCUAUGUCUUGGAUAUUGUGAAUAGUGACACAGUAAAAAUGGAUUCACAGGUAUCUCUGUUGUAGCCAAUAUUUUAAAAAUAAAGCAGCAUAUCCAAUCA